Molecule: ribosomal RNA, 274 nt
Filed under: uncultured bacterium
Lineage: Bacteria
Description: partial 16S ribosomal RNA
Rfam family: Bacterial small subunit ribosomal RNA
Source: RNAcentral
AUACGGAGGGUGCAAGCGUUGUCCGGAUUUAUUGGGUGUAAAGGGUGCGUAGGUGGCGUGUUAAGUCAGUGGUGAAAGCCUGCAGCUCAACUGUAGAGGUGCCAUUGAUACUGACAUGCCUGAGUAUGGAUGAGGUAGGCGGAAUUUGUGGUGUAGCGGUGAAAUGCAUAGAUACCUCAAAGAACACCGAUAGCGAAGGCAGCUUACUGGACCAUAACUGACACUGAGGCACGAAAGUGUGGGUAGCGAACAGGAUUAGAAACCCCAGUAGUCC